This 503-nucleotide ribosomal RNA is filed under the name uncultured bacterium. RNAcentral's name for it is "bacterial SSU rRNA". It matches the Rfam family "Bacterial small subunit ribosomal RNA", at positions 27 to 518 of the family's 1533-position model. The record is from RNAcentral.
GGAUGAACGCUAGCUACAGGCUUAACACAUGCAAGUCGAGGGGCAGCAUUGGGAUAGCUUGCUAUUCAGAUGGCGACCGGCGCACGGGUGAGUAACGCGUAUCCAACCUUCCUGCCAGUAGGGAACAGCCCGGCGAAAGUCGGAUUAAUGCCCUAUGUUCUUCAAUGCGGACAUCUAAGUUGAAGGAAAGAUUCAUCGCUGGCAGAUGGGGAUGCGUCCGAUUAGCUUGCCGGCGGGGUAACGGCCCACCGGGGCGACGAUCGGUAGGGGUUCUGAGAGGAAGGUCCCCCACACUGGUACUGAGACACGGACCAGACUCCUACGGGAGGCAGCAGUGAGGAAUAUUGGUCAAUGGGCGUAAGCCUGAACCAGCCAAGUAGCGUGCAAGGAUGACGGCCCUACGGGUUGUAAAACUGCUUUUAUGCGGGGAUAAAGUGCGGCACGUGUGCCGCUUUGCAGGUACCGCAUGAAUAAGGACCGGCUAAUUCCGUGCCAGCCGCGGC